CAGUAGCCACGGUAAUACGUAGGUCCCGAGCGUUGUCCGGAUUUAUUGGGCGUAAAGCGAGCGCAGGCGGUUAGAUAAGUCUGAAGUUAAAGGCUGUGGCUUAACCAUAGUACGCUUUGGAAACUGUUUAACUUGAGUGCAAGAGGGGAGAGUGGAAUUCCAUGUGUAGCGGUGAAACGCGUAGAUAUAUGGAGGAACACCGGUGGCGAAAGCGGCUCUCUGGCUUGUAACUGACGCUGAGGCUCGAAAGCGUGGGGAGCAAACAGGAUUAGAUACCCCAGUAGUCCCUGUCUCUUAUACA
Molecule: ribosomal RNA, 301 nt
Filed under: uncultured bacterium
Lineage: Bacteria
Description: partial 16S ribosomal RNA
Rfam family: Bacterial small subunit ribosomal RNA
Source: RNAcentral